The sequence is a ribosomal RNA, 389 nucleotides long. It matches the Rfam family "Eukaryotic small subunit ribosomal RNA", at positions 30 to 432 of the family's 1831-position model.
GCUUGUCUCAAAGAUUAAGCCAUGCAUGUCUAAGUAUAAACUGCUUAUACUGUGAAACUGCGAAUGGCUCAUUAAAUCAGUUAUAGUUUAUUUGAUGGUACCUACUACUCGGAUAACCGUAGUAAUUCUAGAGCUAAUACGUGCGCACAACCCGACUUCUGGAAGGGUCGUAUUUAUUAGAUUGAAACCAAUGCGGGUUCCCCGGUAUUUGGUGAUUCAUAAUAACUUUCGGAUCGACUUCGGUCGAUGCAUCAUUCAAGUUUCUGCCCUAUCAGCUUUGGAUGGUAGGGUAUUGGCCUACCAUGGCUUUAACGGGUAACGGAGAAUUAGGGUUCGAUUCCGGAGAGGGAGCCUGAGAAACGGCUACCACAUCUAAGGAAGGCAGCAGG